RNAcentral lists this transfer RNA (73 nucleotides) under Chloroflexota bacterium. RNAcentral's name for it is "tRNA-Arg". It matches the Rfam family "tRNA". From Rfam's summary of the family: Transfer RNA (tRNA) molecules are approximately 80 nucleotides in length. Their secondary structure includes four short double-helical elements and three loops (D, anti-codon, and T loops). The record is from RNAcentral. Lineage: Bacteria; Bacillati; Chloroflexota. RNAcentral also lists the same sequence under 3 other names.
GCCCCUGUGGUUCAAGUGGAUAGGGCAUCGGCCUCCGGAGCCGAGGAUUCGCGUUCAAGUCGCGACAGGGGCA